This 407-nucleotide ribosomal RNA is filed under the name uncultured Rhodococcus sp. Its description in RNAcentral is "bacterial SSU rRNA". It matches the Rfam family "Bacterial small subunit ribosomal RNA", at positions 355 to 774 of the family's 1533-position model. The record is from RNAcentral. Lineage: Bacteria; Bacillati; Actinomycetota; Actinomycetes; Mycobacteriales; Nocardiaceae.
UGGGGAAUAUUGCACAAUGGGCGAAAGCCUGAUGCAGCGACGCCGCGUGAGGGAUGAAGGCCUUCGGGUUGUAAACCUCUUUCAGCAGGGACGAAGCGAAAGUGACGGUACCUGCAGAAGAAGCACCGGCUAACUACGUGCCAGCAGCCGCGGUAAUACGUAGGGUGCGAGCGUUGUCCGGAAUUACUGGGCGUAAAGAGUUCGUAGGCGGUUUGUCACGUCGUCUGUGAAAACCCACCGCUCAACGGUGGGCCUGCAGGCGAUACGGGCAGACUUGAGUACUGCAGGGGAGACUGGAAUUCCUGGUGUAGCGGUGAAAUGCGCAGAUAUCAGGAGGAACACCGGUGGCGAAGGCGGGUCUCUGGGCAGUAACUGACGCUGAGGAACGAAAGCGUGGGUAGCAAACA